CAAGUCCGUUACGGUGAAGGCAUAGCGAACCACACCGGCCUCGAGUCAUGCGCAGUAUAUCGUGAGGUGUGCGGCGAAGCGUUGACAGGGGAGCGUGCGGGCCAGCCAUUGAGCCACGAAAUAUUUCUCAUCCAGGACGCCGACGUAGUUACGUAUGCGGAAGGCAAAACGAACGGGUGCGACAUCGCGAGUGCCCGAACGGUCCUGCGUGGUCGUAGACCC
RNAcentral lists this non-coding RNA (222 nucleotides) under Edaphobacter modestus. Lineage: Bacteria; Pseudomonadati; Acidobacteriota; Terriglobia; Terriglobales; Acidobacteriaceae. The record is from RNAcentral.